RNAcentral lists this ribosomal RNA (225 nucleotides) under uncultured bacterium. RNAcentral's name for it is "partial 16S ribosomal RNA". It matches the Rfam family "Bacterial small subunit ribosomal RNA", at positions 109 to 334 of the family's 1533-position model. The record is from RNAcentral.
AGUAACGCGUGGAUAACCUGCCUCACACUGGGGGAUAACAGUUAGAAAUGACUGCUAAUACCGCAUGAGCGCACAGUACCGCAUGGUACGGUGUGAAAAACUCCGGUGGUGUGAGAUGGAUCCGCGUCUGAUUAGCCAGUUGGCAGGGUAACGGCCCACCAAAGCGACGAUCAGUAGCCGACCUGAGAGGGUGACCGGCCACAUUGGGACUGAGACACGGCCCAA